RNAcentral lists this unclassified non-coding RNA (294 nucleotides) under uncultured fungus. RNAcentral describes it as "partial contains 5.8S ribosomal RNA, internal transcribed spacer 2, and large subunit ribosomal RNA". RNAcentral also lists the same sequence under 1 other name. Lineage: Eukaryota; Fungi. The record is from RNAcentral.
AACGCACCUUGCACCCUUUGGCAUUCCGAAGGGUAUGCUCGUUUGAGUGUCAUUGUACUCUCACUCUCCCGAUGCUUUUGGAUCGGGAGUGGUGGACUUGGGUGUUGCUGCUUCACUGUGGCUCGCCUCAAAUGGAGUAGUGCAACUCUUGGUUGGACAUAGUACGGCGUGAUAAGUAUCUUCGCCGGCGCCUCACUAGAGGGUGGCCGAUCGGGAGCUCUGUGCUUCAAACCGUCUUCGGACAACAUCUGACAACUUGACCUCAAAUCGAGUAGGACUACCCGCUGAACUUAA